This 489-nucleotide ribosomal RNA is filed under the name uncultured bacterium. Its description in RNAcentral is "partial 16S ribosomal RNA". It matches the Rfam family "Bacterial small subunit ribosomal RNA", at positions 28 to 507 of the family's 1533-position model. The record is from RNAcentral.
GACGAACGCUGGCGGCGUGCUUAACACAUGCAAGUCGAACGGUGAAGGGAUCAGCUUGCUGGUUCUGGAUGAGUGGCGAACGGGUGAGUAACACGUGAGUAACCUGCCCCCUUCUUCUGGAUAACCGCAUGAAAGUGUGGCUAAUACGGGAUAUUCUGGGUCUGUCGCAUGAUGGGUCUGGGAAAGAUAUUGUUUCGGUGGGGGAUGGGCUCGCGGCCUAUCAGCGUGUUGGUGGGGUGAUGGCCUACCAAGGCGGUGACGGGUAGCCGGCCUGAGGGGUGUAACUGUCACACUGGGACUGCGACACGGCCCAGACUCCUACGGGGGGCCGCAGUGGGGAAUAUUGCACAAUGGGCGCAAGCCUGAUGCAGCGACGCCGCGUGAGGGAUGGAGGCCUUCGGGUUGUAAACCUCUUUCGCCAGUGAAGCAGGCCUGCUCCUUGUGGGUGGGUUGACGGUAGCUGGAUAAGAAGCGCCGGCUAACUACGUG